GGAGGCAGCUCCAGCACAAGGGGCCAAAGCUGAGGGUGUCCCUCUCAGAUGGGCUUGAGAUGGCAGCCAGCCCAAGGGGGUUCUGUGGUGGAGCUCAGACAAAGUAAGGGGGAAGGCAGCUCCAGCACAGGGGGAACAGUUGAGGGGUGUCCCCCUCAGGUGGGCUCAAGAUGGCGACCGACCCAAAGGGGUUCUGUGGUGGAGCUCAGAUGAAGCGAGGGGGGAGGCAGCUUCCAGCACAGAGGUGCUGGGGCACAGUCGAGGGGCGCAUGGCAGUGAUCACAAAAGGCUCCUCAGGGUUUUGAUGGAGGUUUGAGGGAAGGUGCCUCGCUUUUUAGCUCCAUAGUUACACUGCCAUCUAACUGAACCACCAUAUGGGGAGUGAUGAGAGCCCCUGUGCCCUCUGGAGGCUCUGUACAGCACCUCUGCAUGGUCUGCGGCUCUGGUCACAAAACAGACCUGCCUUCACUCUUUUGCUUUAGGUGGAAAGAGACCCAAAGGUGGGGUUUGGAUCCCAGUCCUCUGACUACAUGUUUCAAACCCUCUCCGAGAGCCAUAAAGCAUGGCUCUCUUGUCAGCAGCUCCAGUGCACAGGGCAGCAUGAAUAAAGCAGACUACUGCAAGUGCAAGAUGGUGAAAGGUGCUGAAGAUGUGGAAGAUGGUCGGCAGAGACAGAGAAGACUGAGCAUGGGAUGACAAACGUCAAAGUUAGGAAGAAGCUGUGGCAAGACUUGAGCAUUUGUGACCAUUUUACCUCUUCCUCCCACAUGACACACACAUCUGAGGCUUUGGGGACAACAAAACUGUAAGAAAAAGACAGAGCGCUGGACAGAAUGGUGCACAGAAUCCUCCUGCAAUACCAAGAGAAAGGACAGUGAGGAUCCUACCUAACACAGCUGCACACUGACAGUUCAGAAAAACAAAGCGUGAAGUGACAUAAAACAAGAACAGUGGCAUGCUCCAAGCCUGCAGCCAAGUCAAGUGACUUGACCCCUGCAGGACUCCCAUGGUCAGAGGACAAAUGCAGGAAUGACGGAGACAAGGCUAAAAAUGCUGAGAGUUUUGUCAGACUUCACGCAGUACUACUGGAAUUAACUUCAGUCUUCAAACAGCACUUCAGACCUGGAAUUUUUGUUAUCAGAGAUACCUCAUACAACUUCUCAGAUGGAAAACACAUCUGCAAACUGAGACUAGCAAAAAAGGGCAUCCAUUACAGGAAUGAAAAGCAUUUACAAGAAGUGAGACAAUUAAAUGUUAUUCAGCAUCACUCUGUAAUUCCAGACAUGGAUGUGGCAGGGAAUGACAGGACUACCUAUUUCUAGGAAAAUCAACGGUCAUUAUAUAUACAAUUUUAUUCUCAAGGGCUGUCUUUUUUGAGUUCCGCUAUUCUCUUAGAAUAUUUUGUAAUAAAUGAAAAUAUAGGGUGAGCAAAUUGUGACAAAUUGUUGAUGAUGAUGUUCUGUAACAUACAAAAUAUGCAGGAAUAAACAUAAAAUCAAGAACCACCUCAAAUGUUUUCAUUUCAUUACUGCUUUAUACAACAGGGUCACAUAUAGAGAGGCUUACAAUCGAUGCUGAAACUUCCUGAAGUGAUGAAGAAGCAUGUCAGCAACAAAACAUAGUGUUAGCAAUCCCUGCUUUAGCACAUACCUGAGAGCCUGCCGUUCUCCUCGCGCUUUCCAUGGAAGUCUUCAGCCUGAUGAGGGUGCUGUUCAUCACAGUGAGACCUCAACACUGCCUCCAUCACACAACAAACCUGAAGUGAAAAACCCAAGACUGUGAGGACCACGCUGGGACACCCUGGGAAGCCAGCACAGCAGCAGAUCAGGUUGCUUUGAAAGGCAAAGAACUGAGGCACACAGAAAUAGCUGCACUGCGUUCCGCAACAUACAAAGCCAGACAUCCUGAAAGAACUGUAAGAGAAAAACAAAAUUAUCUUCUCAACAUGAGAGAUUUCCCUCUUCUAGGCAAGAUUAACAAAGGGGCAUAAUUAGGUGUCAUUCUCCCCACUAACAAGAAAUCAUAGAAUAUGCUUAUUUUGAACUGCUUCUUUCCAAAUCUUGGAAACACUGUAAUAAAACUGUAAAUUAGUAAAGUGUACUCAUACUGUACAAUCAAAAACCAUUGAUAAUCCUAUUUCAUUAAGAAAAGAAAGGCAGAGAGCCUCAGGGCAGGAUAACGGGUGAUUGGUAUGCCUGGAAGCACCACCUCUCACAGCUGCCCAGCCUUGGUUCCAUCCAAAGACCUUCCUUGCUUGCCACUUGGCCAAACCUUCCAAGUUCUGGCUGAACUUUUCCACAAGGGGGAAACAUAUCCUGAAAAACUUCAAAUCAAAGGAUUCAUCUGUUUGAGCUAUGGAGCUAGAAAUGUAUUUUAUCCCCGAAGAA
Molecule: long non-coding RNA, 2387 nt
Organism: Pezoporus occidentalis (night parrot)
Lineage: Eukaryota; Metazoa; Chordata; Aves; Psittaciformes; Psittacidae
Exons: 7
Source: RefSeq, a predicted model, not a curated record